This is a long non-coding RNA of Solanum pennellii, 1326 nucleotides long. RefSeq lists it as uncharacterized. The record is from RefSeq and is a predicted model, not a curated record. The transcript is spliced from 3 exons. NCBI's taxonomy places the organism in Eukaryota, Viridiplantae, Streptophyta, Magnoliopsida, Solanales, Solanaceae.
UAAAGAUUAAUGAUCAAGUGUACAAUUUGUGAUUCAUGAUCCUCAUGUAGGUGAGUCAAGUUUUUGCAUCAUUGUUCAAUUAUUUGUUGUCCUCCAACAUUUAUCUUUGAUGAUGCCUAAAUUGACUGCAUUUUUUUUGGUAGCUUACUGAUGGAAGAGAAGUUGUUGGAGGAAAAGUUGUAGUUAGCUGUAUUAUGUGUUUUUUGUUAUGUUGAGCUAUUUUGGAUUUACAUUUGCUUUGUGCUCAAAUAAGACACUUAGUACUUCCCACCUAAUGAUCACUCCUUUUGUAAAUGAAAUUUUUUCUAGCAAUAAGUAGUGCUUGUGGCUUGUGAUAUCCUUGACACAAGUUAAAAAUUUUGUGCUUAGUAUAUUGUACUUUUUAUUGAUUUUCAAAAAAUAAGUUAAUAAUGGUUGUUGAGGUGCCUGCCUUUUCAAACACGGUGAUAUAUAUUGAUAAAUAUCGGACUGUUAAAUCCGUGCUCUCACGGGCAAUUAUCAUCUAAUACUUAUAUAUACUUAUAUAGAAUAGGGAGUUUCUACUUUCAACAUUGUAGCUUCAUGUCAAUAUAUUUGAAAUUGAGGGCAUAUUUGACUUUUCAACUAUUUUUUUCUACGUGUCUUUCAUUCCUGACUAAGCACACAUAAUCCACCACUUCUAUAUUAUCUAGAUCCAUUAUUCUGCCACAUUUAUUCACUAUUUACUGUGCUACUAAUUCUCGCUCUUCGUCGUCUUCAUAUUUAUUCCCUUGAGUUCAAAGUUUUUAUCCUGUGCGAUAAUAAUUUAGAUGACAAAGAGGCUAAGGGGCCAGGAAAAGAUUGUCAAUUUUAGAUCACAUGCAAUUUGGAGGAAGACGGAAGAUUCUGAAAAGUGUAAUAGCGGGCUCAUUUGUGUGGUUUAAGGGUGUGAUGGAUGAGUCUCAAAGAACGAUCAAGAAUCCCUAAUUCAGCUUCAUAACUACUGCACCAACGUAUAUAAUAAAGGUGAUUCAUGAUCUGCACUAAUUACUAUGCUUCAAGCAUCCAACAAGCUAAAAAAGGUGUUGACAUUGUCUCUGGAAUAAGUCUGAAGACUCAUUUUGUUGGAUCAAAGUGGCGCCGAGUUUUCAAACAUAUUGCAAUUAAUCAUCCAGAUUAAAAGAAUUGUUUAGUACUUAUCUAGCAUCUUUACACAUUUUUCAUUCUUAUUAAUAAAGUUUUGUUUUGGAGUUUAUGGGGAACGCCUUUCUGCCUCACAAGGUGUUAAACUGGGUACAUUAUUGUCGUCAUCAAAUUAUUAGUAAUGUUUUGCUCUUUUUUAAAAAAUUUUAGUUUUGAAUUUAUGCA